CUGCUGCCUUCCGUAGGAGUCUGGGCCGUGUCUCAGUCCCAAUGUGGCCGUCCACCCUCUCAGGCCGGCUACUGAUCGUCGCCUUGGUAGGCCGUUACCCUGCCAACCAGCUAAUCAGACGCGGGCCCAUCUCGCACCACCUGGGUUUUCAGGGCAGGGGCAUGCGCCCCCGCCCGCUAUGCGGUGUUAGCACCUAUUUCUAAGUGUUAUCCCCCAGUGCGAGGCAGGUUGCCCACGCGUUACUCACCCGUCCGCCA
Molecule: ribosomal RNA, 257 nt
Filed under: uncultured bacterium
Lineage: Bacteria
Description: partial 16S ribosomal RNA
Source: RNAcentral